This 73-nucleotide transfer RNA is filed under the name Halomicrobium zhouii. It matches the Rfam family "tRNA". From Rfam's summary of the family: Transfer RNA (tRNA) molecules are approximately 80 nucleotides in length. The record is from Rfam by way of RNAcentral. Lineage: Archaea; Methanobacteriati; Methanobacteriota; Halobacteria; Halobacteriales; Haloarculaceae.
GCUCCUGUGGAGUAGUGGCCAAACUCACGGCCCUCUCAAGGCCGAGCCUCCGGUUCAAAUCCGGACUGGAGCA